CGGGGGCUGUGCGGUGUCCCCGCGCUGAGGCCGCAGCCGGAGAGUGAUUUAGUGAGCGAGAAGCGCGGCCUGCUCCUGAGAGCAGCGCGGGGCGGUGAUCCAGGUGUCUGUUGAGCUCCAAUACCAGCCCUGAGCCUUCAGUGCCUUGGCAGGCAGUCUGCAUGCUGGGGACAGAGUUCCAGUACUGUUUGGUGCUCUUUGGAACAGUGCCACUGGAGAAGCAGAUCCAUUACAACCUGUGGUGUGCAAAGUCUGGCUUUGGAGCUGGGGUAUACAGUGCAGACAAUGUGUCAGUGAUUGGAGUAGUCUUCCUGCAUGUGGCAGCAGGACUCCACAGAUGCUAGACAGUGCUCCUUAGCUACAUCUUCCUUGCUACCUUCCACAGCAGUGGUGGGUCUGAGCUGCUGUGCGGCUUUAUCCUCAAGCAGUACAACAGCAACACCCAGGUGUCAGCAUCCCCAUGAUGUCAGACACCACUGCCCUAACAUAGGCACUGCUGCCAUGGGUUGCAGUUGAUGUCAUCUCAAUGGAGCCCGUGUUCCUGCAUCCAGCCACUCAUGUUGGAGUUCAUGUACUUCUGUGAUCCUCGCUACUUCUCACCUUUGGCCACAUCAUGCUUCAGGCUCUGGAACCUUUCAGCCCCCGAGCUUUCCUGCUCCUUGUCUGAAACUGGAUGGCAGUACAACACUUGAUCACAGAAAGGAGCUAAAAAGCUGAAGCCAGGAGGAACUACAUGAAACCAUCAGCACAAUGAACAGCAUUGCUGUUGGUACAGCAGUGCUAGGAAGGUCCUGAUGGAAAGAAUGAAACAAGGCACGGGACAGCAUUUCUUUCCAGUUUCCCCAUCCCCACAGGUAGGCACCCAAUAGUUACAGUCACUGAUUCAGAGCUGUGUCCAACAAGGUAUACCACUGGAGAGUGGUAUAACACAGGAACAGAUAUUUACAGGUGUGCUCACCUCUCUGAAGAGGGGCCAGUUCACCUUUACAGCUAGAGACUGCCAACUAAUACAGAUCCUCCAAGAAGCCCAUGUACCUAAGAUGACUUCUACUUAGCAAAACACCCCUUAGAGAUACUUAUCCUACUGCUGUGAUCACACCCUUGGUAGGGUCACCUGACUGGUAAACAAACAGCAAACCAGCAUUUCCCAGCCGCUCCCUAAGGACUGACGCCUACCAGGACUGCCUAACGCAGUUUUGAGAAAGACUCCAGAUGAUCUCUCCAGGCAGGGAGAGGUCAGAGGGCCAUCAGGCAGAACAGUAACUGCACACAAAGGUCACUUCAGCUAUGUGCAAGCCUUUAACAGAAGCUUGUCUCCAAAACAGUAAUUCUCUAGAGAUUGUGUAGCUGACCAUUAGCAAAGCUCUCCUUGACUAUAUGGAAGUAUUAAAAUGCAGACAAGAUCCUCAUCCUCUUAAAGGAGGAUGAUUCCUUUAAGUCUGCACGAUGUUUCA
Molecule: long non-coding RNA, 1454 nt
Organism: Centrocercus urophasianus (Greater sage-grouse)
Lineage: Eukaryota; Metazoa; Chordata; Aves; Galliformes; Phasianidae
Exons: 4
Source: RefSeq, a predicted model, not a curated record